GACGAACGCUGGCGGCGUGCUUAACACAUGCAAGUCGAGCGGUAAGGCCCUUUCGGGGGUACGACGAGCGGCGAACGGGUGAGUAACACGUGGGUGACCUGCCCUUAGCUCUGGGAUAAGCCUGGGAAACUGGGUCUAAUACCGGAUAUGACUCCAUGACGCAUGUUGUGGGGUGGGAAAGCCUUGUGCGGCUAGGGAUGGGCCCGCGGCCUAUCAGCUUGUUGGUGGGGUGAUGGCCUACCAAGGCGACGACGGGUAGCCGGCCUGAGAGGGCGACCGGCCGCACUGGGA
Molecule: ribosomal RNA, 291 nt
Filed under: uncultured bacterium
Lineage: Bacteria
Description: partial 16S ribosomal RNA
Rfam family: Bacterial small subunit ribosomal RNA
Source: RNAcentral